GUAGGGAAUAUUGGGCAAUGGAUGCAAGUCUGACCCAGCCAUCCCGCGUGCCGGAAGAAGGCCCUCAGGGUUGUAAACGGCUUUUGACGGUGAAGAAUCGACAGGAUGCGUCCUGUUUUGACGGUAGCCGUUGAAUAAGCACCGGCUAACUCCGUGCCAGCAGCCGCGGUAAUACGGAGGGUGCGAGCGUUGUCCGGAUGUAUUGGGUUUAAAGGGUGCGUAGGCUGGAAGGUCAGUCAGCGGUGAAAAGCUAUCGCUUAACGAUAGUCUUGCCGCAGAUACUUCCUUUCUUGGAUGAGGAGGAGGCCACUGGAACGGAUGGUGUAGCGGUGAAAUGCAUAGAUAUCAUCCAGAACACCGAUUGCGAAGGCAGGUGGCUGUACCUUAAUCGACGCUGAUGCACGAAAGCAUGGGGAGCAAACAGGAUUAGAAACCCCUGUAGUCC
This 445-nucleotide ribosomal RNA is filed under the name uncultured bacterium. RNAcentral describes it as "partial 16S ribosomal RNA". It matches the Rfam family "Bacterial small subunit ribosomal RNA", at positions 354 to 796 of the family's 1533-position model. The record is from RNAcentral.